Molecule: ribosomal RNA, 460 nt
Filed under: uncultured bacterium
Lineage: Bacteria
Description: partial 16S ribosomal RNA
Rfam family: Bacterial small subunit ribosomal RNA
Source: RNAcentral
CCUACGGGUGGCAGCAGUGAGGAAUAUUGGUCAAUGGACGCAAGUCUGAACCAGCCAUGCCGCGUGCAGGAAGACGGCUCUAUGAGUUGUAAACUGCUUUUGUACGAGGGUAAACGCAGAUACGCGUAUCUGUCUGAAAGUAUCGUACGAAUAAGGAUCGGCCAACUCCGUGCCAGCAGCCGCGGUAAUACGGAGGAUUCAAGCGUUAUCCGGAUUUAUUGGGUUUAAAGGGUGCGUAGGCGGUCGGGUAAGUUAGAGGUGAAAUCCCGAGGCUCAACUUCGGAAUUGCCUCUGAUACUGGUCGGCUAGAGAGUAGUUGCGGUAGGCGGAAUGUGUGGUGUAGCGGUGAAAUGCUUAGAGAUCAUACAGAACACCGAUUGCGAAGGCAGCUUACCAAGCUACUUCUGACGUUGAAGCACGAAAGUGUGGGGAGCGAACAGGAUUAGAUACCCUUGUAGUC